GGGUUAAUGUUGAUAACCUAAUGUCAUGAAAAGAGCUAUUGACAUAAAAAUAAUGCUCAAUAGGAUUACUCUGAGACUG
This is a small nucleolar RNA of Grammomys surdaster, 79 nucleotides long. RefSeq annotates it as small nucleolar RNA SNORD115. The transcript has a single exon. The record is from RefSeq and is a predicted model, not a curated record. Lineage: Eukaryota; Metazoa; Chordata; Mammalia; Rodentia; Muridae.